ACUCCCAGCUCUCCUGGCUCUAGCAGCACAGAAAUAUUGGCACUGGGAUGUGAGUCUGCCAAUAUUGGCUGUGCUGCUCCGGGCAGGGUGGUGA
Molecule: microRNA precursor, 94 nt
Filed under: Mesocricetus auratus (golden hamster)
Lineage: Eukaryota; Metazoa; Chordata; Mammalia; Rodentia; Cricetidae
Description: microRNA 195a (ENSMAUG00000003420.1)
Rfam family: mir-16 microRNA precursor family (bases 12-88)
About the family: The hairpin precursors (represented here) are predicted based on base pairing and cross-species conservation -- their extents are not known.
Source: RNAcentral